AGGCGCGCAUUCUAAGGGCCCGGCCGCCGGGCCUGUUCGCAAUCGACCUGGAUGAUCUCGC
RNAcentral lists this transfer RNA (61 nucleotides) under Heterosigma akashiwo. RNAcentral describes it as "partial Selenocysteine transfer RNA". Lineage: Eukaryota; Raphidophyceae; Chattonellales; Chattonellaceae. The record is from RNAcentral.